GACUUUAUAGCUUAAUGGUCAAAGCAUCCAAGGUAAAACCGCAGACACCAGUGUGAAAGCCACUGACGGAAUGGAUAUAGGUUCGAAUCCUAUUAAAGUCA
RNAcentral lists this transfer RNA (101 nucleotides) under Bacteriophage sp. RNAcentral describes it as "tRNA-OTHER". It matches the Rfam family "tRNA". Rfam says of the family: Transfer RNA (tRNA) molecules are approximately 80 nucleotides in length. Their secondary structure includes four short double-helical elements and three loops (D, anti-codon, and T loops). The record is from RNAcentral.